GGAAUAUUGCACAAUGGGCGCAAGCCUGAUGCAGCAAUGCCGCGUGUAUGAAGAAGGCCUUCGGGUUGUAAAGUACUUUCAGCGGGGAGGAAGGCGAUGCGGUUAAUAACCGCGUCGAUUGACGUUACCCGCAGAAGAAGCACCGGCUAACUCCGUGCCAGCAGCCGCGGUAAUACGGAGGGCGCAAGCGUUAAUAGGAAGUACUGGGCGCAAAGCGCACGAAGGCGGGCUGCUAAGGCAGAUGGG
Molecule: ribosomal RNA, 246 nt
Filed under: uncultured Enterobacteriaceae bacterium
Lineage: Bacteria; Pseudomonadati; Pseudomonadota; Gammaproteobacteria; Enterobacterales; Enterobacteriaceae
Description: partial 16S ribosomal RNA
Rfam family: Bacterial small subunit ribosomal RNA
Source: RNAcentral